AUACGUAGGGGGCAAGCGUUGUCCGGAAUUACUGGGCGUAAAGAGCUCGUAGGUGGUUUGUCGCGUCGUCUGUGAAAUUCCGGGGCUUAACUCCGGGCGUGCAGGCGAUACGGGCAUAACUUGAGUACUGUAGGGGAGACUGGAAUUCCUGGUGUAGCGGUGAACUGCGCAGAGAUCAGGAGGAACACCGGUGGCGAAGGCGGGUCUCUGGGCAGUAACUGACGCUGAGGAGCGAAAGCAUGGGUAGCGAACAGGAUUAGAUACCCUGGUAGUCCAUGCCGUAAACGGUGGGCGCUAGGUGUAGGGGUCUUCCACGACUUCUGUGCCGUAGCUAACGCAUUAAGCGCCCCGCCUGGGGAGUACGGCCGCAAGGCUAAAACUCAAAGGAAUUGACGGGG
This 398-nucleotide ribosomal RNA is filed under the name uncultured bacterium. Its description in RNAcentral is "partial 16S ribosomal RNA". It matches the Rfam family "Bacterial small subunit ribosomal RNA", at positions 523 to 918 of the family's 1533-position model. The record is from RNAcentral.